RNAcentral lists this ribosomal RNA (477 nucleotides) under uncultured bacterium. RNAcentral describes it as "partial 16S ribosomal RNA". It matches the Rfam family "Bacterial small subunit ribosomal RNA", at positions 28 to 507 of the family's 1533-position model. The record is from RNAcentral.
GAUUAACGCUGGCGGCGUGCAUAACACAUGCAAGUCGAACGAUGACACUUUGUAGACUUCUUCGGAAAGACACUAAGCGGAUUAGUGGCGAACGGGAGAGCAACGCCUGAAUUAUCUGCCUUACUCAAGGGGAUAGCCUUAGGAAACGAACGAUAAUACCCUAUAAAAGCAUAAAAGCAAAUGUUAGAACGGUCAAAGUGGUAGCGGCGUAUGGUGGACUUGCGAGUGAUUAGCUAGGUGGUGAGAUAAAAGCUCACCAAGGCGACGAUCAGUAGCCGGCUUGGGAGAGUGUACGGCCACAUUGCGACAGGGACAAGGCGCAGACUGCGGCGAGAGGCAGCAGUGGGGAAUUAUGCACAAUGGGGGAAACCCUGAGGCAGCGGGGCCGCGAGAUUGAGAAGGCCGUCGGGUUGUGAAAAUCUUUUGUAUAGGGAGAAAAUGACGGUACUAUACGAAUAAGGACCGGCUAAUUACGUG